UAUUUGUGGUGGUGUGGCGGAGGGGUAGGAACAUGGAGAGAAAAAGAUAUGCAGGUUUUCUGUAACAUUAUAAGACGGCGCCACCUCCCCCACCCCCACGUAACCUAACGGUCACAGUGCGCGAUUUAUUUAAAAAAUUUUCGGAACAGCGGCUACAGCAGCACAGAGCACAGCAGCAGUCCAGCAGUGCGCUUUGGAUACUGGAAGAGAUUAGAGGGAAGGAAUAAGAACAGACCAGAGUAGGGUGGAGGAAAAUAAAGAGCUGCCGUGAGGUGCAACAGAUUAACAAGUAGUGCCACUGACCAAGAAAUUGACGCUACAGUGAAAAGAUGGCUACACCUGGCCCCUGAUCGAGAUGGUGGGAGGAGAGUCCGGAUGCAGAGGAAGACCAAUGAACAGGAAAGGGGAAAUUAAUGAUGGUUAAUGAUUAAUGAUGAUUUGUACACUCGUUCCUGUAGUUUUGGCCAUCUAGUUCUUAGCCCAUGAAGUUUUUAUUUGUUCUAUUCAUUACUAUUGUUGUUCCUGACACUU
Molecule: long non-coding RNA, 531 nt
Organism: Acanthochromis polyacanthus (spiny chromis)
Lineage: Eukaryota; Metazoa; Chordata; Actinopteri; Pomacentridae
Exons: 3
Source: RefSeq, a predicted model, not a curated record